CAAAGCCAAUGGUGUGAUCACUACUACUGGCCAAGAGCCAUCUGUUGGUGUCUCAGAGGGGGAUACAAUGAGCAGCCGAGAUGCUGUGGGUCUUUUCAUUAAGGACCAUGGCUAUCCUUGGGAAGAUCUUUAUGUUAAACAAGUUAGUAGAGGAAGAUGAUUAUUUAUUUAUUCAUUUGUAUACGUGUGAUCUUUCUGUCUGUAGGCACAUGGGCCUGUCAAGUUUGUAAAUGUCGGCAUGCUCCUUUGGAACAAGAUCUCAUUGGGCCAGCACCAAAAGGUUGGAUGUGGGGUGGAGAAUGGCAGACCUUGAUUCAAAUUCAUGUUUUCUAAGUGGCUGGCCAGCACUUCAACCACCAGAUCAGUCCUCUUCUCUGCAGGGUUAAACAUUUCCUCUUACAAAAAGAGCCACAGGCUCUUGAUUAUCCAUGCAAAGCAGGCCAGCGCUUUGAUUUGUAAGGUUUUGUCUGACACACUUUUAAAUGGAUGAAGCUCAAUUUAGAUUCCAAAUGAAAACCUAAAUUUGAUGGUUGAGACAUAGACCCACUUUUCUCUCUUAUCCCGAGGCACCGUUCUCCACCCUUCCCCUUUCCUCUUCAAAAAGUGAUACUGCCUAAUGCUUUGAACCAAGAAAGCGUGUUUCAAGAUCAGCGUGGAACAAUUAAACCAAUGAUCUGUGCGCUUCAAGGGGAAAACUGAGCUGCAGUAGCUCUGCUUUGACAGGUCUUUGGAGGAUUUCAAGGAAGUUACACCCACUUCAUUCAUGAUAAUCGGCUGUUUAACGCAGAGCAGCUCAGUGUUAUGAAUGAGAGGGAGCAUGUUUUGGCUUGCAGAACAACUCACAAAUCUAAUGCUUCACUCGUCAAAUAACCAGCCACAUAAAAAAAAAAUCUGACUUCAUUCUUGAAAUGAAAUUAAUGAAUGCGAGAUUCAGUGAAAAAAAAAAAAAGACCAACAACCCAACAACCAAACACCUAAAGCUGCAUCCUCUCUUUCUUUCUGCAUGCUUCUCCUUACCUUGGGUUUGUGAGUUGCUGUGGCUGGAGAAUUUGGGGUAAAGCAGCACAGCCUCUGAGCUGAUUUGCAGCUAAGGCCGAGUUUUGGGAGGGAAUCACGCGUUAGAUCACAACAUGCUUAAUUGCUGGAUUUGAGAUCGUGCUGGUAUCAAAAGGAGGCUGUGGAUGCACCAUCCCUGGAGGCAUUCAAGGCCAGGCUGGAUGUGGCUCUGGGCUGCCUGGUCUGGUGGUUGGCGACCCUGGGGGGUUGAAACUAGAUAGUCAUUGUGGUCCUUUUCAACCUAGGCCAUUCUAUGAGUCUAUGAUCAAAAGGGAAGCGGAAGAAAAAAGCUUAUUAAGAAUGGACUGCACUGGGGGAAAUCAAGACCUGAGCAGAUCCUUUUUUAUUUCCAUUCAUUCUCAGGGUGGUUCUUCUCAAACCAAAAGGAGCAGUCAGGUAUAAAAGGGAAGCGAUGCUCGUUAGGGCAGUGUGGGUUCCCAUUCCGGAGCACGCAAAGCCUUCAGCUGGACCUGAAAGCCGGGCAGUGUGCUGGGGUUUGCUCCAGGGCACCACCCGCAGCAUUGGCUUUUCUGGUGCAUGGCAGUGCUGAAUUUGCAGACUGUAGGUUUGGAUUCCCCCUGGGAAGUUCUCAUCUCAUGAAAUGUGGUGCACAAAGCAGAGAAAGGCGGGUGCUGGCUGGCUGUCAGUGGGAGAGGGUUGGAGAUGAAGAAGUGGAAGGAGGGCUUAAGGAGAGCGAUGGAUUUCCUGCGCCCAAAUAACAAAGAAGAGGGAAGAAAACCAACACAAAUGUAAUUUUGUCCUGGCUCAAUGAUGCACUGUCAGUCACUGAGGGAUGAAUUGUGCUGUGCAGCAGUAGUCACCUUCCACGAACGCUUCAGGCUUGAUUUAAUACCCCUCUUCCUAAAAGUAGAAGGUGAAAAAAUGGUUUAGGGGCACACACAGCAGAGCCGGGGGGGGGGGGAGAAAAAA
RNAcentral lists this long non-coding RNA (1986 nucleotides) under Gallus gallus (chicken). Its description in RNAcentral is "lncRNA (ENSGALG00010026336.1)". The record is from RNAcentral. Lineage: Eukaryota; Metazoa; Chordata; Aves; Galliformes; Phasianidae.